This 244-nucleotide ribosomal RNA is filed under the name unidentified eubacterium 84R6. Its description in RNAcentral is "partial 16S ribosomal RNA". The record is from RNAcentral.
UGAAGAUACCUUGUUACGACUUCACCCCAAUCAUCGACCAUACCUUGGGCGCCUACCUCCUUGGGGUUAGCACAGCGACUUCUGGUACGACCAACUCUCAUGGUGUGACGGCCGGUGUGUACAAGGCCCGGGAACGUAUUCACCGCGGNGUUCUGAUCCGCGAUUACUAGNGAUUCCAACUUCAUGCUCUCGAGUUGCAGAGAGCAAUCUGAACUUAGAUGGCUUUAAGGGAUUGGAUCCACCU